GCGACUGGGCUACAGAGUGAGACUUUGUCUCAAAAAAAAAAAAAAUGUUGCCCCAGAUUUUAACCAACCAUAUACCAUUAUCAACCAUAUACAAAUAAUAUUGCUAAUGAGCAAGAAAGUGGAAGUAAACAUGUAGACAUUCAUGUAUCAGGCUCUGCUACCAGUUGCUUAUUUUGGCUGUGUACUUGUGUCCAAGGUCAUUCACUCACUGGGUAGGUUUAUGUCCUAUGAUGCCAUCAACUGCCAGUCAAAGAACUAAUCAGCAUGAGCAAACUAGUGUUCACACAAAACUGGUACAAUUGAAACCAAAAUCAAAGACACUUUUAUUGUAGAUAAAUGUACAAUUUCCAUUAGGCUUGUUAAAAUACUGAAAGCAAUUUAAAUUCAUUUAUUCAUUCAAAAACAAAUAUUUACUGAGCAUCCCUGUCCAUCCAUGCUGGCUAGGCAGCAAGGACAAAAUAAAUAACACCUAAUAGCCUCAGGGGAUUCAAACAAACAUACCCCUAUAUUAUUUUCAUGGAUCCCAAAGAUUCUGAAGAUGUUGCACCAAUAAAAUUGGGAGAGUGCUGGAAGGGAUGACAUUUUUAUUCCCUUAUGAACACAAACAACUUAUCAAAAGGCAGCCUGUUCCACAAAGAACCUCUCAACAUUACAGCCCUAGCAUUUCGGGAGGACGAAGAGGGUGGAUUGCGUGAGCUCAGGAGUUCAAGACCAGCCUGGGCAACAUGGCAAAACCUCAUCUCUAUUAAAAAUAAAACAUAAAAGGCUUUGCAGAUGCUGCCGCCACCGGGAGCCCUGUACUCUCAGACAUGGUUAACCCCACCAUGACAUCGCCUUCGACAAUGGGCCAUGUCUCCUUUGAGCUAUUUGCAGACAAGUUUCCAAAGACAGCAGAAAACGUUCAUGCUCUGAGCACUGGAGAAAAAGGAUUUGGUUAUAAGGGCUCCUGCUUUCACAGAAUUAUUAUUCCAGGGUUUAUGUGUCAGGGUGGUGACUUCACACGCCAUAAUGGCACUGGCAGCAAGUCCAUCUACGAGGAGAAAUUUGAUGAUGAGAACUUCAUCCUAAAGCAUACAGGUCCUGGCAUCUUGUCCAUGCCAAAUGCUGGACCCAACACAAACAGUUCCCAGUUUUUCAUCUGCACUGCCAAGACUGAGUGGUUGGAUGGCAAGCCUGUGGUCUUUGGCAAGGUGAAAGAAGGCAUGAAUAUUGUGAAGGCCACAGAGCACUUUGAGUCCAGGAAUGGCAAGACCAGCAAGAAGAUCACCACUGCUAACUGUGGACAACUUGACUUGUGUUUUAUCUUAACCACCAGAUCAUUCCUUCUGUAGCUCAGGAGAGCACCCCUGCACCCCAUUUGCUCGCAGUAUCCUAGAAUCUUUAUGCUCUCGCUGCAGUUCCCUUUGGGUUCCAUGUUUUCUUUGUUCCCUUCCAUGCCUAGCUGGAUUGCAGAGUUAAGUUUAUGAUUAUGAAAUAAAAACUAAAUAACAAAAAUAAAUAAAUAAAACAUAAAAAAUAAAAACAAAGUACAGCCCUACUGUGGAGAUACAAGCUGCCCCACUGCUAGAAAAUCAAGAAGAGAUUUCUGAAAUCAAGGACUUUGUCCACAAUUCAACAAACAUUUACUGAAUUUCUAUUUUGUCCUUAGACACUCUGCUAGAUCAGCAAACUGAGGCUCUCAGGCCAAAUCUAGCCCAAACACCUUGUUUUUGUAAACAAAGUUUUAUUAGACACAGCUACACAUGUCCAUUUAAAUAUUAUCUAUGGCUGUUUUCCUGUUACAACUUGCAGUAUAGCCCAUCAAGCCUAAAACAUUUACUCUCUGGCCCUCCACAGAAAAUGUCUGCUCAUCUCUAUGCUACACUCUAGAAAGAUGCAGAAAUGUAUCUUGAUCUAAGUGGUAGUUGCAUAGAUAAAUACAUUGGUAAAAAUUCAUCAAGCAUUUAAUUCAUUUUAUUGGAUAUAUGCCAUAACUCAAUACUUCAUUUUUUAAUGAAAUAAAGAGUAAUCAGUCCCUGCCUUCUAGCAAUUUAAAAUCUGGUAGGAGGAUAUCGAAGUAAAUAAUUAAAAUACAAUAGUGAGCCCGCACAGUGGCUCACACCUGUAAUCCUAGCACUUUGGGUGGCCAA
This is an RNA transcript of Cercocebus atys (sooty mangabey), 2129 nucleotides long. It is a transcript of the gene named peptidyl-prolyl cis-trans isomerase A pseudogene, with no coding region annotated. NCBI's taxonomy places the organism in Eukaryota, Metazoa, Chordata, Mammalia, Primates, Cercopithecidae. The transcript has a single exon. The record is from RefSeq and is a predicted model, not a curated record.